UUACGGCGAUAUCAUGUUGAAACACCGUUUCUCAUACGAUCACCAAAGUUAAGCAAAGUUGGACGUGCUCAGUACCUAGAUGGGUAAACACUUGAGAAUGUCAGUUACUGUA
Acanthosepion pharaonis is the source of this 112-nucleotide non-coding RNA. NCBI's taxonomy places the organism in Eukaryota, Metazoa, Mollusca, Cephalopoda, Sepiida, Sepiidae. The record is from the annotation of a GenBank genome assembly.